This is a long non-coding RNA of Gallus gallus (chicken), 781 nucleotides long. RefSeq lists it as uncharacterized. NCBI's taxonomy places the organism in Eukaryota, Metazoa, Chordata, Aves, Galliformes, Phasianidae. The transcript is spliced from 3 exons. The record is from RefSeq and is a predicted model, not a curated record.
ACUCAUACCCGCGGCGGAGCGGGGAGGCGGCGGGAGCGGCCCGGCCGGGCAGGUGUGAACCAGUGCAGAUUCUAAAGCAAACUCUGAAAAUCUUUCUGAAUAAUCCUGUUCCGUAGCUGAUUGGAUGUAGCAGAGUUUCUGCUGAAGCAAACUGAGCCCAGCGAUACAAACAUUAAAUGUUUCAGAUAGCCAAAUCCUCCUUUGUUCCCAGUUACGUGGCGCUGGUGAGCCAAUUCCGUGAACAAGAAAGGUGGGCUAUUCUGGGAGGGGUUUCUUACCUAAAAAUUAAUUCCCCUGCAGCACCCAGAGAAAUGAAAACUUUAGGUAUUCCUGGGUGUUUUUGCAGUUCUGUUGGUUGCUAAAAUCAAAACUGGGUGUGGAAGUCUGCCCGCAGGUGACUGGUAGCCACCGGUGGGAGUCCUGGCUUAGCUCAUGUGGGCAUGGGGACCGGGGGGGGGGAGGGUUUGCAAGUCACUUAGCCGGGAUAUUGUGUCACCGUUUUUACAGGCAAUCGAGAGAAAAAGAACAAAACGUGAGCCUUUAUGGCCUCAAAGGGAGACCGUAUAAUGACAGUUGUGGAAGGGAGAGGGCUACCGAUCGGUGCUCAUAAGGCAUUUCGUGUUUUUGUAGAAUCUCACGACAGGAAGGGGACGUUUGGCGACGUCAGGACCGCGAUGCCGCCGGUGGCAGUGGACGCAGCGAGCUGGCUUUCUGUGGAGAUGACGGCGGGCCGCGGAGGCACCGGGUGACUACAGCUCCCAGCAGCACCGCGGCGGCGCCG